AAAGAGGUUUUUUUAAAAACCACCCAAACCUAACCAAACCAAAAACU
This is a non-coding RNA of Manacus vitellinus (golden-collared manakin), 47 nucleotides long. NCBI's taxonomy places the organism in Eukaryota, Metazoa, Chordata, Aves, Passeriformes, Pipridae. The record is from Rfam.